Pipra filicauda (Wire-tailed manakin) is the source of this 795-nucleotide long non-coding RNA. RefSeq lists it as uncharacterized. Lineage: Eukaryota; Metazoa; Chordata; Aves; Passeriformes; Pipridae. The transcript has 4 exons. The record is from RefSeq and is a predicted model, not a curated record.
CAGGAUCUUACCGAGAGGAAGCUCUUCAGUGGAUGAGGGUCUUCCUUUGUUGCUGUUGACUGGACAGUGAAUUUCCCCAAAGGAGAAGGAACAGAAUUUGGUGGCAUCCAGAGAAAGCCACACAACCUCAUUGCAAUGCUCACCUGUGAACAGACUCACCUAAGAGGAGAAGAGAAUCAAAUCAUGCAAUCUCUGACCAUCUGUCCAUUAUCUGCAGCUGGAACUAGAUAUUGUCCAGAGGAGAAAUGAUGGCUCCCAAAUGUAAAUGAUAGCACAGAGGUGCCCUGAGGAUUGGAAGAGGAGCUUGGCUUGGAUUCAAGGACAGUCAAAACAACAGAAGAGGUAGUACAUAAUCAGUGACCUCUCUGAUAAAGGUCGAAAAGCAUCUAUGGCAAAGGUAAAAGGAAGGACCCUCAGAGCCCCUACAGUUGUGUUCUAUCUUUGGACUGAAGGGGAAAACUGCAAGCACUGAGCAGCAUCCUUGUGGUACUGCACUCGAAUUUAAGGACUUUUCCUGGAAACAGCCUAAGUGCAACUCCAGCCAGACCUACUGGAAAUAGUGGAAAACUGAGAAAAAGUUGUCAUGGAAACCACUAACACCGAGAUAUGGGUGAAAAAACAAGCUUUCAUUCAGAGACCACAAUUAUUUGCAAAAGAAUCUGUGAGCUUCUGAAACGCUUUUUCCCUACUCAGUUCUGCUGAGAUCUCGACUCAAAGACCAGCUGGAGGGUGGAAGUGCCAUUGGAACACUAAAUCUGGUAAUGCAGCAUUUGAAGGAAGGUUGUUUCUCCAUGU